GACGAACGCUGGCGGCGUGCUUAACACAUGCAAGUCGAACGGAAAGGCCCUGCUUUUGUGGGGUGCUCGAGUGGCGAACGGGUGAGUAACACGUGAGUAACCUGCCCUUGACUUUGGGAUAACUUCAGGAAACUGGGGCUAAUACCGGAUAGGAGCUCCUGCUGCAUGGUGGGGGUUGGAACGUUUCGGCGGUUGGGGAUGGACUCGCGGCUUAUCAGCUUGUUGGUGGGGUAGUGGCUUACCCAGGCUUUGACGGGUAGCCGGCCUGAGAGGGUGACCGGCCACAUUGCGACUGAGAUACGGCCCAGACUCCUACGGGAGGCAGCAGUGGGGAAUAUUGCACAACGGGCGGAAGCCUGAUGCAGCAACGCCGCGUGCGUGAUGACGGCCUUCGGGUUGUAAACCGCUUUCGCCUGUGACGAAGCGUGAGUGACGGUAAUGGGUAAAGAAGCACCGGCUAACUACGUG
This 468-nucleotide ribosomal RNA is filed under the name uncultured bacterium. RNAcentral describes it as "partial 16S ribosomal RNA". It matches the Rfam family "Bacterial small subunit ribosomal RNA", at positions 28 to 507 of the family's 1533-position model. The record is from RNAcentral.